GAUUUUUUAAAUUUUGGUUAUUCAUUUGUAAGUCCUACAAAAUAUCUAAGGGUAGUGUUAUCAUUUAAUUAAUUAAAGGAAUCCUAGAUGAGAGGUAUAUAAGUCAACUUGGUCAUUACAUAGUGGAGAAUUUUAAUUUUUUGAUAAUUUACUUUCUCAUUUCAAAUAUAAAAAAACAUUGAAAAAAAGAGAGAAGAAAAGUAAAUGAGAAAGGAGACAAAUAAGUUUCGGUAACAGAGAAAAUAUUUUUCUACUCCCCUCUCAUCUUACACUA
This 274-nucleotide long non-coding RNA is filed under the name Lathyrus oleraceus (garden pea). Its description in RNAcentral is "Pisum sativum (pea) long non-coding RNA (PSAT_LNC007695)". Lineage: Eukaryota; Viridiplantae; Streptophyta; Magnoliopsida; Fabales; Fabaceae. The record is from RNAcentral.